Humulus lupulus (European hop) is the source of this 807-nucleotide long non-coding RNA. RefSeq lists it as uncharacterized. The transcript has 3 exons. The record is from RefSeq and is a predicted model, not a curated record. Lineage: Eukaryota; Viridiplantae; Streptophyta; Magnoliopsida; Rosales; Cannabaceae.
UUCUCCAUUUCUCUCAAACUCCCAACUGCACCCCCUCCUUCCCUCCUUUCUCUCUGAAAAUUUUCAGCCUCCAAAAAUCAAUAAAAAUCCAUCCCAUGGCUCUCUCUCCCUAAGCAUCUCCCUCUUGGCUCUCUCUCCCUAAUGCUCAGACUCCCUCUUGGCUCUCUCUCCCAAACGGCCUGCUCCCUCUCGGGUCUCUCUCCCAAACGAUCCGCUCCCUCUUCUCAGCUCUCUCUCCCUAACGCCGAAACGGUCCGCGACUCCCUCUCGGGUCUCUCUCUCUCUCGGCUCCGAGCUGCUCUCCCUUUUGUCGAGCUGCUCUCUCUUUCUCAGAUGCCGAAACCCAGACAGAGUCAAAUACAUGCUGACCAUAGACAAAUUGACACAGAGGCUUACUGAGCUUGUAAAAUUCUGCAGCUGAGUACAAAGCACAACCGAAGCAUUUGAGUCUUGCAUGGAUUCAGAAACCAGAGGGAUAAUGGCAAUAUAUGUCACUGCACAGCUAAGGAGAACUUCCGAGAUUAUAUUUAUUGCAGUCUAAUGCUUUUUGUUGAGGGUACAAGCGUCACACACGCUUCUCAUAUAUCAUUUGGUUUGUCCUUUUAUGAAUAAUGUAAAAUUAGAACAAUUUUAUUGUAAGAUCCAUCAACAGAGUAUCAGAUUAAAAUAUUUAGAUUAUUAUUAGGACUUAGAAGUGGUUUGAGUUUUUUUAUGUAUUUAUUUAUUUAUUUUUAUUGAUAAUGUUGAAAGAUGUUAUAAGUUAGCUUACAUUAUAUGUUAAUGAGAAAUUUAAAUUUCUUUUGAUUU